Molecule: long non-coding RNA, 510 nt
Organism: Homo sapiens (human)
Lineage: Eukaryota; Metazoa; Chordata; Mammalia; Primates; Hominidae
Product: long intergenic non-protein coding RNA 1605
Source: Ensembl
CAACUGGAGGGUUUUUCUGAGAGAGAAGUGAGCAUCAAAUACAUUCCUCAUCUUGCCCUCUCUAGAUGAAGGUUGCUUGAGCAGGAAAUCCACCCAUGGCCCAAAGAGGAAAGAUCCGCUUUAAAUGCCUGGGCAUAUACUUCCAAGAACCAGAUGUGGCCUGUUCCUUACACCUCCCUGGGCUUAGAUGACAGCUUGAACUCUGCGGCUGAUGGAAUUGAGCAGAUGGGAAUGACCUGGAAUCUAACACUCUACAAUUCAGACACACCACUGUCCACUUGUCCCUCCCUUCCUGCCACUGGCCCUGCCAGCGUACCUUGUGUACUUCGCAAAGGUCACUGGCUCCUGUUUUAUGUAAUGACUGACAGACGAUCUCGCCCAGCUCAGCAAUGUGAACAGACACCUUGCAUGGUGCCGGUGGUGGGUGCGGUUGUUUCUGGAUGUCAUGGAAGAGGCUGGGGCAUACCAGGGCUUUCCCCAAUUGUGCCUAAAAUAAAUUGGCUCUUGGGA